This 484-nucleotide ribosomal RNA is filed under the name uncultured bacterium. RNAcentral describes it as "partial 16S ribosomal RNA". It matches the Rfam family "Bacterial small subunit ribosomal RNA", at positions 30 to 507 of the family's 1533-position model. The record is from RNAcentral.
AUUGAACGCUGGCGGCAGGCCUAACACAUGCAAGUCGAGCGGAUGAAGGGAGCUUGCUCCUGGAUUCAGCGGCGGACGGGUGAGUAAUGCCUAGGAAUCUGCCUGGUAGUGGGGGCUAACGUCCGGAAACGGGCGCUAAUCCCGCAUACGUCCUGAGGGAGAAAGUGGGGGAUCUUCGGACCUCACGCUAUCAGAUGAGCCUAGGUCGGAUUAGCUAGUUGGUGGGGUAAAGGCCUACCAAGGCGACGAUCCGUAACUGGUCUGAGAGGAUGAUCAGUCACACUGGAACUGAGACACGGUCCAGACUCCUACGGGAGGCAGCAGUGGGGAAUAUUGGACAAUGGGCGAAAGCCUGAUCCAGCCAUGCCGCGUGUGUGAAGAAGGUCUUCGGAUUGUAAAGCACUUUAAGUUGGGAGGAAGGGCAGUAAGUUAAUACCUUGCUGUUUUGACGUUACCAACAGAAUAAGCACCGGCUAACUUCGUG